UAGGGAAUCUUCCGCAAUGGGCGAAAGCCUGACGGAGCAACGCCGCGUGAGUGAAGAAGGAUUUCGGUUCGUAAAGCUCUGUUGUUAGGGAAGAAUGAUUAUGUAGUAACUAUACAUAGUAGAGACGGUACCUAACCAGGAAGCCACGGCUAACUACGUGCCAGCAGCCGCGGUAAUACGUAGGUGGCAAGCGUUGUCCGGAAUUAUUGGGCGUAAAGCGCGCGCAGGUGGUUUAAUAAGUCUGAUGUGAAAGCCCACGGCUCAACCGUGGAGGGUCAUUGGAAACUGUUAAACUUGAGUGCAGGAGAGAAAAGUGGAAUUCCUAGUGUAGCGGUGAAAUGCGUAGAGAUUAGGAGGAACACCAGUGGCGAAGGCGGCUUUUUGGCCUGUAACUGACACUGAGGCGCGAAAGCGUGGGGAGCAAACAGGAUUAGAUACCCUGGUAGUCCACGCCGUAAACGAUGAGUGCUAAGUGUUGGUCUCAUAAGAGAUCAGUGCUGCAGCUAACGCAUUAAGCACUCCGCCUGGGGAGUACGACCGCAAGGUUG
RNAcentral lists this ribosomal RNA (548 nucleotides) under uncultured bacterium. RNAcentral describes it as "bacterial SSU rRNA". It matches the Rfam family "Bacterial small subunit ribosomal RNA", at positions 355 to 896 of the family's 1533-position model. The record is from RNAcentral.